AGCGAACGCUGGCGGCAGGCCUAACACAUGCAAGUCGAGCGAGAAAGUGACUUCGGUCAUUAUUAAAGCGGCGGACGGGUGAGUACAACUUGGAUAACCUACCUUUAGGCCUGGGAUAACUUCGGGAAACCGUUGCUAAUACCGGAUAAGACCACGAUAUCUUCGGAUAACGGGGUAAAGAUUUAUCGCCUAUUGACGGGUCCAAGUACCAUCAGGUUGUUGGUGAGGUAAAGGCUCACCAAGCCUAAGACGGUUAGCCGGCCUUAGCGGGUGAUCGGCCACACGGGGACUGAGACACGGCCCCGACUCCUACGGGAGGCAGCAGUGGGGAAUAUUGGGCAAUGGGCGCAAGCCUGACCCAGCCAUGCCGCGUGAGGGAUGAAGGCCUUCGGGUCGUAAACCUCUGUCAGGAGGGACGAUGGGACUUUGUCUUGACGGUACCUCCAGAGGAAGCCCCGGCUAACUCCGUGCCAGCCGCCGCGGUAAUU
Molecule: ribosomal RNA, 488 nt
Filed under: uncultured bacterium
Lineage: Bacteria
Description: bacterial SSU rRNA
Rfam family: Bacterial small subunit ribosomal RNA
Source: RNAcentral